Molecule: ribosomal RNA, 301 nt
Filed under: uncultured bacterium
Lineage: Bacteria
Description: bacterial SSU rRNA
Rfam family: Bacterial small subunit ribosomal RNA
Source: RNAcentral
AUUGAACGCUGGCGGCAGGCCUAACACAUGCAAGUCGAGCGCGAAAUCACUUCGGUGAGAGUAGAGCGGCGGACGGGUGAGUAACGCGUAAGAAUCUACCUAGUAGUGGGGGACAACUCGGGGAAACUCGAGCUAAUACCGCAUACGCCCUACGGGGGAAAGCGGGGGACCUUCGGGCCUCGCGCUAUUAGAUGAGCUUGCGUUGGAUUAGCUUGUUGGUGAGGUAAUGGCUCACCAAGGCGACGAUCCAUAGCUGGUCUGAGAGGAUGAUCAGCCACACCGGGACUGAGACACGGCCCGG